CCUUUUUUUAGGUUAACAUUUUGAUUUUUAUUUCACUUUUUAAUUCCACUUUAAUAUUUCAAAUUUGGCUCCUUCUAUUGUUUCAAUUUACACCCCUUUCUGGUUUCCCCUUGGUUUCUCUCGUCUGUUACCGCCAUUGUCGUUGACCUCUUGAGUAUUACACUAUUUCUGGUUUUGUUUGAUUAUUAUCAUUUUUUUUAAUGGACAAUUAUUGUUAAUAUUUUAUUGAAUCGUGUUUUAUUGUGUGUAUAUUACAUGUGCACAUUGCCAUAUUGUUUAAUCUCGUUAAUUUACAUCACUAUUACAUGUUUCUCUGUGCAAUUCUGCCAGCUACUCAACCUUGGUGUUAUUUUUUUUGUUUGUUUGUUAGAGGAAUCAAGGCAAAAGAUGAAAGAUUGAGAAUGGCAAAUUACCAUUCUGUUUAUCUGUAAUCACACAUUGUUGGUUAUUCAUUGAGUUAAUCUUGGAUUACUUGUAACUUUAGUCGCAUUUUGAGCUCAUCAUAAUUUCAUCAUUAUAUGUCAUCUUUUACUUGCAAUUUGGGUGAUAAACGUUAUUUGUGUUAGUGUGCUUCAUUUAUAUUGAUCAUCAAGUGAUUUUUACCUGUAAUCUUUUUUACACUAUGUUUUUAUCCAUGUUCCAAUCUCUUGUCACCUGAAAUCGAAAGCUCAAUGAUUGUCACGCUUUGUCAACCGUGUGACGGUCAUAAUCAGUCGACAACUAUUCUUUUUCUCUCUUAUUAUGUGAUAUAAAUUUUUGCUGAUACGUUGUUGGGUGUUGUAAACUGUUUUGAUUGCUUUCUCAAAAAGUGUUGAUUCUUUUUUUUGACAUUUUUUUCUCACGAUCACCACGGUUGAUGCGUCAACUGAGCUGUGUAUGACGGACCUGACCUUGAAUCAGCUGAUUACGAUUAAUUAAGACAACCUGGUGACAGGUUCAGGGUUAACUAGUUAAACCACAACUUGCUGAUUUAUUAUGAUUUCAACUUGUGUUGUCUAGUUGAGAAAAGCGCCAAAAUUGGGUUUCAUUUGAAGAUCAAGAAAUUUGAAUACAUACGAGCACAAAAUGAUUAUCUUAAUCUAAAUAUCGAUUAACUGGACAAGUAUUUUACUGAUUUGGAAUUCAAGUAACAAAAUCAAUUUCGUGCUGGUUAUGGCUAUAGAUAAUAUGGAUAAAUAAGCUGCCAUUUCAUAGCUGGCAAUAACUCAGUUCAACGUUACAAGCGACAAUUGAGGUUUGAAUUGGUCUUGGAUUUUACCAUCGAGAAUCGUGGUGAAUAAACUGAAAGUACUGAUUAUUGGUUUAGCUGAUUGGUUGGAUAGGAACAAAGAAGUCGAAUUAAUGGAGAGAAGAAUGAAAUUUAAAGUUAAUUGGAUUGAUUCUGCUGCUGAUGCUUUGUUUCCAGUGUUUUACAAGUUAGUGUUAAACACGAAAACAAAAAGUUGGAUCAGGAGAAUUGGAAGAAAACCAGGAAAAAUGAUAAAGAGAGAAAUUAAAAGAAGAGAAAUACAAUUCUUAGUCGAUAUUUGCUGUUUAACUUGAAUUGCAAUUUGAAUAAUCGGCACAAGUAACAUUAUGGUUUUCUUGCUAAGGUUAACAAGUUGACAAUCAAGUACAAUACACUUUUUGGUACCGGCUCAAUGAACCAAUUAUUAGCUGAUUGGUCGGUUAAUUCCUUAAUUUGGUUCAUCUACUUGCUGAUUGAAAGGCAAAAGUUUCUUGUCUUUCAUUAGUACAUGAUUCCCAUCAUCACUCAAGCUGAAUACAAAUGAUUCUUGCAAAUCUAUUCUUAAUUGUCAUUUUUAAAUCAUGGAGCAAAAACAGCUACUUUGCCUGAUCAUUAUAAUAAUCACUAUCAUCUUAAUUGCGAUCACAAUUAAGUUAAAUGGAGAUUCUUUAAUUUUAGAGUUGCUACUUUUAUCGUCACUCUUCUUGUCAUUAUCAACAUCAACUCAAAGUUAAAUUUUUCAAUUAACCAACCAACAACAUGAUUUUACAAGCUAUUAAAAAAGAUGAACACAAAAAAUGCGUCAACUUUCAACUCUAACAGUAGAACAAUCUUCUCAAUUAACUUCAAUCAAUGAUGAUCAAAGCAAAAGACAACUAGACACAUCAAUCCACAUAAAAGUCAGAUUUUUAUGAAUUGACCGUAAUUCAGUGUUCAAUUUUCAUUCAAUUGUCUUCACAUUCAAUGGUUAACUUCAACCUCAAUCACCAAUUUAAAGGAAUCAUCUUCACAAUCAUCUUCACCGACAAGAACAUGAAAGAAAAAAGAGAGAGACGAGAAAAAAACAAUCAACCGUCAUCAUUUUCAUCUCAAUAUAUAUUUAUAAGGCUGUUAUUUCCGUUUUAUGGUCAUUACAAGUAGCUUUUUGAAAUGACCAUUUCCGUUUGAGAUGAUAGUCUGUCUUCUCUGUGAAUUGGGCGAAAGUAAAAAGAAAGAGAAGGUGAAUAAGUAUGGAAAAGAUGAAAAUGUCGGAAAACUGGUUAACCUUGAUUUGACCUUGUCUUUGCGUCGACUUGAUUACUUUAAACUCUUGAUAUAAACAAGAAUGGUCUCGUGAUGUGCAUUCAAUCCUGAAUUUUGGUGAUUCUAUGGAUCCUUCAAAGAUAAUCACUGAUUAACUUAUCCUCCAACUUGCUCAAUGAGUCAUUCAACUUUGAAAUCUGAGUAUUUUGGUGAACAUUUGGUGAACAAUUGACUCUGUCAAAUAUGUAAAUACCAAGUAAAUGAGAUGAAAAAACAAGAAAAGAGUUUCCAGAUGAUGUCGAAGUAAAAGUUGCUGAUUAAUAUUUUUUUAAAUGUGCAAACCGUUAACCGAUUCAGGACUCGAUGUUGAUGUUUAAUGAAAAAAGAUUGCCAAUGAAAAUGAUACAUGAAGUCGAAACCAUAUUCAGCCCGAGAAACACAAAUACAGUUUAAGCAAAGAGACAACUGAAAAGGCCGAAAAAAGUUUAUAAUCUGUUGAGUAAAGACCAAUCCUUAUUCAGUAAAUCUCUGUGCAAACAGAAUGCUGGUUAUCUCAAAUUAUUUGCAAAUUUACCUUUCCUUUUAUUCGCACAUAAAUAUUGUCAGAUAUUGGAAGAAGAGCGCAAAAAAGUUGACAGAAAGCAAAAAUGGUAAAAAAGUACCAAAAAUGACAGUUUUUCAUUUCUUUUAUCAUAAUCAUCACCAUUGCCAGUUUAAAAACAUUUGGCGAUUUACCUUUUUUAUUACACAAGAAGAAACAGCGACAAGUAAAGGAAAAGGAAAUUUGAAAAUGGAGAUGAAAUUUGAUGAAGCAUUCUAAUUAAAGGAAUGAACCUGAAUAGAUGAUUUAUUGAAAAUGAAAUAGAUGAAGGAAACAAAAGGUGAAUAAAAUUUGCCCCAAUGUUUUGAUUCUAAUGUCUAUUGAAUGAGAACAUUUUGGUGACAAGUUUAAGAAAAGCAAAAGACUUUAUCAAAGUAAGAUGAAUAUUAUUGUUAGUAGUUAGCAGCCGGCAACUCGUAAUCACAUACUAUUAAUCAUAUGUGCCAAAGUGCUCAAAUGGUAAGGACAGAUGUCAAAAGUAACUUGCAUUUCCGUUUUACUAUAAACACAUUAAACUUAUUUUCGGUUCAAUAUUAUUUCUCCUUUUUUCAUCCUCAUCUUCAUCUUCAUCUUAAACUGAUUUGUAUGCAAAAGAAGAAGAAGAAGAAAGAAGAAGAAGAAGAUUGUAUUUGUUUAAUAUAAAAACGUUAACCGUUAUUUUCAUCAUUUCCUUCAUCUCUUUGCAUCUUGAUCCAUUUAACCCAAUCGAUGAGCUCUUAAUCGAUUUAAUAUCGAUUAUUACUCUUAUUAUUUUCAUUAUUACCAGAAAAAAAGAGAGACAGAGAGAGAAAGAAACUGUACUUGACAAAGAAAAUAAAUUAACCCAAACGCCAUUUUGAUUCUGAAGCUAAAAUAAUCAAAGCAGAAUAGGUUUUGUGUUAUUCGAUGCGAAUCCAAAUCUUUACAAUUCUAUCCAUUAUACUCUGUAUGUAGAUUAGCCUGAUGAUUAUAAUAAUGUUAAUGAUAACCAGAAAUACAAACUUUGCUUCUCUUGUU
Long non-coding RNA from Tetranychus urticae (two-spotted spider mite), 4067 nucleotides. RefSeq lists it as uncharacterized. NCBI's taxonomy places the organism in Eukaryota, Metazoa, Arthropoda, Arachnida, Trombidiformes, Tetranychidae. The record is from RefSeq and is a predicted model, not a curated record.